GUUUCAAUUCCUCAUAGGCAGGCUAUCGGCAAUCCGCAUCAUGCUCUCGGCUAGGCAGUCACGGGG
Molecule: small RNA, 66 nt
Filed under: Acididesulfobacillus acetoxydans
Lineage: Bacteria; Bacillati; Bacillota; Clostridia; Eubacteriales; Peptococcaceae
Description: Peptococcaceae bacterium INE non-coding RNA
Source: RNAcentral